UACAGAGGAGCCAAGCGUUGUCCGGAUUGACUGGGCGUAAAGCGCACGCAGGCGGAUGCGCGCGUGGGGUGUGAAAUCUGGCCGCUUAACGGCCAGGCGCCAUCCCAUACGGCACAUCUGGAGGGCUGCAGAGGUCGAUGGAAUUGCCGGUGUAGAGGUGAAAUUCGUAGAUAUCGGGUAGAACACCAGUGGCGAAGGCGGCUAUCUGGACGACAACUGACGCUGAGACGCGAAAGCGUGGGGAGCAAACAGG
RNAcentral lists this ribosomal RNA (253 nucleotides) under uncultured bacterium. Its description in RNAcentral is "partial 16S ribosomal RNA". It matches the Rfam family "Bacterial small subunit ribosomal RNA", at positions 524 to 776 of the family's 1533-position model. The record is from RNAcentral.